RNAcentral lists this ribosomal RNA (486 nucleotides) under Triticum aestivum (bread wheat). Its description in RNAcentral is "partial small subunit ribosomal RNA". Lineage: Eukaryota; Viridiplantae; Streptophyta; Magnoliopsida; Poales; Poaceae. The record is from RNAcentral.
AUGCUCUCUCUGCUGGUCUCCCGGCCUCCCUCGGCCGGCGUCGCUGCGUUGUCCGACCUGGUGGAUGGAGGGCUUGGGCUGCCGCGGCUUGGGUGUCUCCCGUCCCCGGCCUCUGAUGAUGUUGCUCCUGCCAGCGCCGCGCCGUCAACCCUGAUUGCUGCUGUGGGCGCGCCGUCCCCGACUCCUGCCGGCGCUAUUACGUCGUCCUUGGCUCCUGCAGAAGCCCCGCCACCCUCGGCUGCGACUGCUGAAGCGCCGUCCACGUCUCCUGCUGGCUCCGUCACAUCGUCCUCGACUCCUGUGAAAGCGAUGCCGUCCUCAACUCCUGUCGGCACGUCGCCGGAUCUGGGCACCAAGCAACCUGUUUCGUGGAGCUCUCUUACCAAAGACGAAGAAGGUGAAGAUGACGACGAGCUGGCCCCGCAGACACCGCCACCGGCUACCAAAUCCCCAGUUCCCCGCUUCCGGCUACUCGACCGGACAUGA